GAUAAACGCUGGCGGCGUGCCUAACACAUGCAAGUCGAACGCUCUGCUGUCUUUCGGGACAGCAGAGAGUGGCGGACGGGUGAGGAACACGUGGGUGACCUACCUUUCAGUGAGGAAUACCGGCGAGAAAUCGCCGACAAGACCGCAUACGCUUCCCGCAUCAGCGCGGGAAGGAAAGCUGCUUCGCAAGAGGUGGCGCUGGAAGAUGGGCCCGCGGCCGAUUAGCUAGCUGGUGGGGUAAUGGCCUACCAGGGCGACGAUCGGUAGCUGGUCUGAG
This 277-nucleotide ribosomal RNA is filed under the name uncultured bacterium. Its description in RNAcentral is "partial 16S ribosomal RNA". It matches the Rfam family "Bacterial small subunit ribosomal RNA", at positions 28 to 296 of the family's 1533-position model. The record is from RNAcentral.